GACGAACGCUGGCGGCGUGCCUAAUACAUGCAAGUAGAACGCUGAAGCGAGGAGCUUGCUCUUCUUGGAUGAGUUGCGAACGGGUGAGUAACGCGUAGGUAACCUGCCUUGUAGCGGGGGAUAACUAUUGGAAACGAUAGCUAAUACCGCAUAACAAUGGAUGACACAUGUCGUUUAUUUGAAAGGGGCAAUUGCUCCACUACAAGAUGGACCUGCGUUGUAUUAGCUAGUAGGUGAGGUAACGGCUCACCUAGGCGACGAUACAUAGCCGACCUGAGAGGGUGAGCGGCCACCCUGGGACUGAGACAGGGCCCAGACUCCUACGGGAGGCAGCAGUAGGGAAUCGUCGGCAAUGGGGGCAACCCUGACCGCGCAACGCCGCGGGAUGGAAGAAGGUUGUCGGAUCGUAAAGCUCUGUUGUAAGUCAAGAACGAGUGUGAGAGUGGAAAGUUCACACUGUGACGGUAGCGUACCAGAAAGGGACGGCUAACUACGUG
Molecule: ribosomal RNA, 497 nt
Filed under: uncultured bacterium
Lineage: Bacteria
Description: partial 16S ribosomal RNA
Rfam family: Bacterial small subunit ribosomal RNA
Source: RNAcentral